CACGCCGUAAACGAUGAUAACUAGCUGCCAGGGCUCUUAGAGCUUUGGUGGCGCAGCUAACGCAUUAAGUUAUCCGCCUGGGGAGUACGGUCGCAAGAUUAAAACUCAAAGGAAUUGACGGGGGCCUGCACAAGCGGUGGAGCAUGUGGUUUAAUUCGAAGCAACGCGCAGAACCUUACCAGCGUUUGACAUCCUGAUCGCGGAUAGUGGAGACACUUUCCUUCAGUUCGGCUGGAUCAGUGACAGGUGC
This 250-nucleotide ribosomal RNA is filed under the name uncultured Sphingomonadales bacterium. RNAcentral's name for it is "partial 16S ribosomal RNA". It matches the Rfam family "Bacterial small subunit ribosomal RNA", at positions 796 to 1041 of the family's 1533-position model. The record is from RNAcentral. Lineage: Bacteria; Pseudomonadati; Pseudomonadota; Alphaproteobacteria; Sphingomonadales.